AAUAUAACAACUAUCAAGAAAGAUAUUGCAGCAAUAGAUAAAAUAACAUUUCAUUAGGCCAAUUUCAGGUCCAUUGAAUUUUCUGUUAUUAUUUUACAGGGCUGGAUUUGAUCUUUUGUGGUGCUGAGUCCAACUGCCUUGACUCCCCUCCCUUAUUAACUUCUUGAAGAAAAAAGGUCCCCUACUGUCCUCCAGCGCUGUCCCUCCAGGCCUCAGGAGCAUUACAGUGCACACCGGCACUGGGAUGUUCAAGGUAGUGAGGAUAUCUUUAUUGGGCCAUCUGGACUUACUAGAACAUUGAAAGGUUUUAAACCAUGCUGCUCUAUUUGUCCCUCUUGUUGCCAUGUAGGAAACCUACAGAAAAAUGAGUACACCACUGAGAAACUGCUU
This is a non-coding RNA of Phalacrocorax carbo (great cormorant), 390 nucleotides long. The record is from RefSeq and is a predicted model, not a curated record. NCBI's taxonomy places the organism in Eukaryota, Metazoa, Chordata, Aves, Suliformes, Phalacrocoracidae.